Molecule: ribosomal RNA, 520 nt
Filed under: uncultured Glomus
Lineage: Eukaryota; Fungi; Glomeromycota; Glomeromycetes; Glomerales; Glomeraceae
Description: SSU rRNA
Rfam family: Eukaryotic small subunit ribosomal RNA
Source: RNAcentral
AGCAGCCGCGGUAAUUCCAGCUCCAAUAGCGUAUAUUAAAGUUGUUGCAGUUAAAAAGCUCGUAGUUGAAUUUCGGGAUCAAAUUGUCGGUCGUGCCUCGGUACGUACUGGUAUUAUUGGUUCCUCCCUUCUGACGAACCACGAUGUCAUUAAUUUGGUGUCAUGGGAAAUCGGGACUGUUACUUUGAAAAAAAUUAGAGUGUUUAAAGCAGGCUCGCGCUUGAAUACAUUAGCAUGGAAUAAUGAAAUAGGACGUUUGAUUCUAUUUUGUUGGUUUCUAGGAUCGACGUAAUGAUUAAUAGGGAUAGUUGGGGGCAUUAGUAUUCAAUUGUCAGAGGUGAAAUUCUCGGAUUUAUUGAAGACUAACUACUGCGAAAGCAUUUGCCAAGGAUGUUUUCAUAAUUCAAGAACGAAAGUUAGGGGAUCGAAGACGAUCAGAUACCGUCGUAGUCUUAACCAUAAACUAUGCCGACUAGGGAUCGGAUGAUGUUAAUUUUUUUAAUGACUCAUUCGGCGCCUU